AGGGGCUCUUGCGUCUGCGUGUCCUUGCGUCUCUCUGAAAACUCAGAAGCAUUAAAUACCCUAACGAAUUAUUUUAACCAAUUGCUUUGUUGAAAAGUGUGAUUAGUCUGAAGUUGUAUGUAGCUGGGUGAAGUGGGGGCAGGGGGGUUUUCGUGCUGCUAGAUGGUCCGCACACAGGGUGAGCGCGUACUGUCACUUUACAUCGCCAUGAGUUCACGUGGGAUUUGGAGCUGCAGAACGGGACCUGGCGGCUACCGAGGACGACACAGUGUUAGCGGUUAGCAUCGGAACAGCGCUGGGGAAACACCUGUUCAGCGGGUCAGCAGCAGAGUGACGAGCUGCCGGGGGUCGAGGUCGCACGUGCACGGAGCCGCGAGCGCAGGCGCUCCAGUGACUUUAUUGUUUCCGGGGCUUUUGGAGGAACGACAGUGAUGUGAGUGUUGAACAGCACGAGACCGAUGUGCAUGUUCUUUGUCUCUGUUUAACAGGAGGGCGUCACUACUGUUUUUUUUAUGUAGCCUAACUGUUAACUUUAUGUAAUUGUGAGCUCUAUUCCAUGUCAUACUGUUACUAGUUAGUAAAGAAGUUUAUUUGUUGUACACUGUCCCAAGUGUCUCCUUAAUUUGACACAUUAAGGCUGUGCUCCAGGAGUGCAGUCGGGGGAAAUAAAGAUUCCACAUUAAAGAGAAAUACAUUUA
Gasterosteus aculeatus aculeatus (three-spined stickleback) is the source of this 698-nucleotide non-coding RNA. The record is from RefSeq and is a predicted model, not a curated record. Lineage: Eukaryota; Metazoa; Chordata; Actinopteri; Perciformes; Gasterosteidae.